Gallus gallus (chicken) is the source of this 1203-nucleotide long non-coding RNA. NCBI's taxonomy places the organism in Eukaryota, Metazoa, Chordata, Aves, Galliformes, Phasianidae. The record is from Ensembl.
CUGGCAUAAAUUACUCUGGCUCUGCUCAAUUCAAUGGAGCUCCAGUAAUUGUAAUCAGCUGAAGAUUGUACCUUUGUUUUAUUUGUGGCUGUGGAAUGCAGUUCCUUAUCAGCAGCAGGUCAGGACACCUGCUGGGAGAACAGAGUCCAUUAACCUGAAGAUGGGUGACUGGUUUGUUCUCAGCUGUCCAGCUACUGGAUGAGAAGAAAGGCCAGUAAAAGAAAACAACUGCAGACGUUGGAUUAUCUAUUGAGCUGCCCUGGCCUUUCCCUGCUGCAGAACAGGUCUUCUACUGGUGCAGAAAGAGCUGGAGCUGCGCUUGCCUCUCCUCUCUAGGCAAAUCACCAAGAAAGGAGCUGGUCCAGCUUAACCCUUGGCACAAAGCACGUCUAAGAACGAGCAGCCUGUUGGGCUGCAUGCCAGGAAAGCAUCAGGGGAGAGAGAGAGAAAAAAAAAAAAAAAAGCAGAAAACCAGAACAUAAACACAAGAUUGCUGCGGUAAUUGGUGGCUCUGAAAAACACUGAGGAAAUGUGAGGCUUGUAUGAAACAUCAGCAGACAAGAAGCGGGGUGAUGUCAGACGGCCUUCCAGGAUUAGAAACCCUUAAAAGCUCCCGAGUGCGGAACUGCCUGCGAAACGCGCUGCGGCUCUUUGGCGUGGAAGGACCCGAGGAGGACAAGUUCUGUUGAAAACCAACCCCGUGGUUCAGGUUCAGGAGAAUAAAAAGAAAUAAAGGAGGAGAAGGGAAGAGCGGCAGAUAAAAGGAGGGAAAAAUGAGAGGAAAAUGAAGACAAAAAAUGGAAGAGGAAGAAAGGAAGGAGGUAGUGAAGAGAAUAAAGGAGAGGUGAAGCAAGAAGACAAAAGAAGAAAAAUAAAAGGAAGAGAAAAAAUGGAAAAGACAAAAGAAAGCAAACAGAAGAAAGAAAAAUAAAAGAAAGAAUGAGAGAAGGAAGUAAAAAAUGUUGUGAGUACAGUAAGCAUGGCAAAAGAGAAGCAGGGCUUUUUGGAUGCAAAUAUGAAAAUAUCGAGGGAUUCAACACAAACAUCUCAUUACCCCAAAUUAAGUCAAUACAACUAUAAUAGAAGAAAGAUCAGAGAGAAUGGAAUUGUAGUUGCAAUAAUGCUGGAGCCACACAGAAAAAGGCUUUGAACAGGGGUACACAAAACCAGAAAAAAUAAAGAAGGAAAAAAAACCUCUCCCAC